Molecule: ribosomal RNA, 401 nt
Filed under: uncultured bacterium
Lineage: Bacteria
Description: bacterial SSU rRNA
Rfam family: Bacterial small subunit ribosomal RNA
Source: RNAcentral
AACGAACGCUGGCGGCGUGGAUAAGACAUGCAAGUCGAACGGAACUACUUUUAGUAGCAAUACCGAGAGUAGUUUAGUGGCGAACGGGUGCGUAACACGUGGGCAAUCUGCCGAGAAGUGGGGGAUAGCUCGCCGAAAGGCGAAUUAAUACCGCAUGUGAUGAGAGGCGACACCGUCUUGAAAUCAAAGCCGGGGCAACCUGGCGCUUUUUGAGGAGCCCGCGGCCUAUCAGCUUGUUGGUGAGGUAACGGCUCACCAAGGCUUUGACGGGUAGCUGGUCUGAGAGGACGACCAGUCACACUGGAACUGAGACACGGUCCAGACACCUACGGGUGGCAGCAGUCGAGAAUUUUUCUCAAUGGGGAAACCCUGAAGGAGCGACGCCGCGUGGAGGAUGAAGG